AACGCGAAGAACCUUACCCAGACUUGACAUGCACUGGACGACAUCAGAAACGAUGUUUCCCUUCGGGGCCGGUGCACAGGUGCUGCAUGGCUGUCGUCAGCUCGUGUCGUGAGAUGUUGGGUUAAGUCCCGCAACGAGCGCAACCCUUAUCCCUAGUUGCCAUCGGGUCAAGCCGGGCACUCUAGUGAAACUGCCUCGGAUAACGAGGAGGAAGGUGGGGAUGACGUCAAGUCCUCAUGGCCUUUAUGUCCAGGGCUACACACGUGCUACAAUGGUCGGUACAAACCGUCGCAAACCCGUGAGGGGGAGCUAAUCGGAAAAAGCCGGCCUCAGUUCGGAUUGGAGUCUGCAACUCGACUCCAUGAAGCUGGAAUCGCUAGUAAUCGCGGAUCAGAACGCCGCGGUGAAUACGUUCCCGGGCCUUGUACACACCGGUACUA
Molecule: ribosomal RNA, 440 nt
Filed under: uncultured bacterium
Lineage: Bacteria
Description: bacterial SSU rRNA
Rfam family: Bacterial small subunit ribosomal RNA
Source: RNAcentral